ACGUAGGUGGCAAGCGUUGUCCGGAAUUAUUGGGCGUAAAGCGCGCGCAGGUGGUUUAAUAAGUCUGAUGUGAAAGCCCACGGCUCAACCGUGGAGGGUCAUUGGAAACUGUUAAACUUGAGUGCAGGAGAGAAAAGUGGAAUUCCUAGUGGAGCGGUUAAAGGCGUAGAGAUUAGGAGGAACACCAGUGGCGUAGGCAGCUUUCUGGCCUGUAACUGACGCUGAGGCGCGAAAGCGUGGGGAUCAAGCAG
RNAcentral lists this ribosomal RNA (251 nucleotides) under uncultured prokaryote. RNAcentral's name for it is "partial 16S rRNA". It matches the Rfam family "Bacterial small subunit ribosomal RNA", at positions 525 to 775 of the family's 1533-position model. The record is from RNAcentral.